UCUGCUCAGGACGAACGCUGGCGGCGUGCUAAUACAUGCAAGUCGAGCGAACAGAAGGGAGCUUGCUCCCGGAUGUUAGCGGCGGACGGGUGAGUAACACGUGGGUAACCUGCCUGUAAGACUGGGAUAACUCCGGGAAACCGGAGCUAAUACCGGAUAGUUCCUUGAACCGCAUGGUUCAAGGAUGAAAGACGGUUUCGGCUGUCACUUACAGAUGGACCCGCGGCGCAUUAGCUAGUUGGUGGGGUAAUGGCUCACCAAGGCGACGAUGCGUAGCCGACCUGAGAGGGUGAUCGGCCACACUGGGACUGAGACACGGCCCAGACUCCUACGGGAGGCAGCAGUAGGGAAUCUUCCGCAAUGGACGAAAGUCUGACGGAGCAACGCCGCGUGAGUGAUGAAGGUUUUCGGAUCGUAAAGCUCUGUUGUUAGGGAAGAACAAGUGCGAGAGUAACUGCUCGCACCUUGACGGUACCUAACCAGAAAGCCACGGCUAACUACGUGCCAGCAGCCGCGGUAAUACGUAGGUGGCAAGCGUUGUCCGGAAUUAUUGGGCGUAAAGGGCUCGCAGGCGGUUUCUUAAGUCUGAUGUGAAAGCCCCCGGCUCAACCGGGGAGGGUCAUUGGAAACUGGGAAACUUGAGUGCAGAAGAGGAGAGUGGAAUUCCACGUGUAGCGGUGAAAUGCGUAGAGAUGUGGAGGAACACCAGUGGCGAAGGCGACUCUCUGGUCUGUAACUGACGCUGAGGAGCGAAAGCGUGGGGAGCGAACAGGAUUAGAUACCCUGGUAGUCCACGCCGUAAACGAUGAGUGCGUAAGUGUUAGGGGGUUUCCGCCCCUUAGUGCUGCAGCUAACGCAUUAAGCACUCCGCCUGGGGAGUACGGUCGCAAGACUGAAACUCAAAGGAAUUGACGGGGGCCCGCACAAGCGGUGGAGCAUGUGGUUUAAUUCGAAGCAACGCGAAGAACCUUACCAGGUCUUGACAUCCUCUGACAACCCUAGAGAUAGGGCUUUCCCUUCGGGGACAGAGUGACAGGUGGUGCAUGGUUGUCGUCAGCUCGUGUCGUGAGAUGUUGGGUUAAGUCCCGCAACGAGCGCAACCCUUGAUCUUAGUUGCCAGCAUUCAGUUGGGCACUCUAAGGUGACUGCCGGUGACAAACCGGAGGAAGGUGGGGAUGACGUCAAAUCAUCAUGCCCCUUAUGACCUGGGCUACACACGUGCUACAAUGGACAGAACAAAGGGCUGCAAGACCGCAAGGUUUAGCCAAUCCCAUAAAUCUGUUCUCAGUUCGGAUCGCAGUCUGCAACUCGACUGCGUGAAGCUGGAAUCGCUAGUAAUCGCGGAUCAGCAUGCCGCGGUGAAUACGUUCCCGGGCCUUGUACACACCGCCCGUCACACCACGAGAGUUUGCAACACCCGAAGUCGGUGAGGUAACCUUUAUGGAGCCAGCCGCCGAAGGUGGGGCAGAUGAUUGGGGUGAAGUCG
RNAcentral lists this ribosomal RNA (1486 nucleotides) under Bacillus pumilus. Its description in RNAcentral is "bacterial SSU rRNA". It matches the Rfam family "Bacterial small subunit ribosomal RNA". RNAcentral also lists the same sequence under 1 other name. The record is from RNAcentral. Lineage: Bacteria; Bacillati; Bacillota; Bacilli; Caryophanales; Bacillaceae.